UUAACAAAACUAACUCCCCUAAAUAGGAGACUUAUUGUAAUCUAAAACUAGCUACUAAGUAGGAACUAAAUCCUAACAACUCAACUAAAUAAGAGGUAAAAGAGUAACUGCUACUGCUGCAUAUGUGCUAAUAAAAAUUGAGUGGAAACUGAUUAACAGGAAGAAUCAACAAAACAUGCUCAAGAUUAAUCUGAUAAAGGAAAGAAUACCAUCGUAAGUGGAUCCCAGGACUGCAUAUGUGCUAAUACCCCCCUCAAGGUAGGCGGUGUGUAACAACGCCUAGCUUGAAUACGUUACUGUCAAAGGAUGCUUUGGGCAGUGCUUUAGUGAGAGUAUUCGCGAGCUGAUCUGCUGAGUGAAUGUGGAUAAUCUGAACUUGUCUUUGCUACACUUGCUUGCGAACAAAGUGAAAGUCCACAACAAUGUGUUUCAUGCGGCUGUGGAACAUAGGGGUUUCAAACAAAUAUGUUGCACCAACAUUAUCACAGUAAAUGGUUGGUGCGUGUAGAACAAGAAUGUAUAAUUCUUUCAACAAGUUCGUUACCCAAUUAAUUUCAGCAAGUGCACUGGCAACUGCGCAAUAUUCAACCUCAAUUGAUGAGCGAGCAACAGGUUUUUGUUUCUUGGAUGACCAGCACACAGGAUUUGAUCCAAAAAACAGUACAUAACCUGUACUGGAGGUUCGAUCAUUCACAUCUCCAGCCCAAUCCGCAUCAGUGUACAUGUGAAGCUUGAAAUUAUUGCGUCUGAGUAUGCGGAGACCAAACUGAAUCAUUCCUUGGAGAUACCUACGCAUGCGUUUGAGUGCUUUUCAAUGUGUUUCAGAUGGACAAUGCAUGAAUUGGGACAGUUUGUUAACAGAAAAACUUAUGUCUGGUCGGGUGAAUGACAAGUACUGUAGCUUACCCACAACUUUUCUGUAUCGAGUAGCAUCAGUUGGUUCCGCACCAUCAUUGAGCUUAAGUAUUUCUGUCGAACUCAUUGGAGUUUUAACCGGCUUGCAGUCACUCAUGUUUUCCUCCGUCAGAAUAUCACUGAUAUAAUUAGAUUGUGACAUAAUGAUUUCAUCAUCACCACGGAGCACCUCGACACCAAGAAAAUAUUAUAGAUUUCCAAGAUCUUUAAUCGAAAAAUUUUCAGCAAGUGAGUGAAUAACCUGAUCAAUAAUACGAUUGUGACUUCCUAUGAUGAUAAUAUCAUCUACAUACACGAGCAAAUACACCACACUGUAAGAAUGUUGACAAAUGAAAAGGGAGGCAGCCGACUCAGACUUUACAAAUCCCAAGUAAAGAAGAUGAGCCUUGAGUUCGUUGUACCAAGCUCGAGGAGCUUGCUUGAGUCCAUAUAUUGCUUUUUUAGACGGUAAAUAUGAGAGGGAAACUGCUCAUCUUCAAAGCCUGGAGGUUGAACCAUAUAGACCUCUUCCUCUAGAUGUCCUUGUAGGAAUGCAUUAUUGACAUCAAGCUGCCUGAGUGGCUAAUUAUGUUGAACUGCCAGUGAGAGCACUAAUCGAACCGUAGUUUGUUUCACAACCGGACUGAACGUAGCAUGAUAGUCAACUCCUGGCCUUUGGUAAAUCCUUUUGCAACGAGGCGCGCCUUGUAGCGAUCAAUUGUUCCAGCAGCUUUUCUCUUUAUCCUGCAUAACCACUUGCAAGACACAAUAUUUUUACUGGGAUCAUUUGGUACCAAAUCCCAAGUUUGGGUUUUCAUCAAUGCAUCAAAUUCAGUUUUUAUUGCUCUCUGCCACUCGAGGAAUUUGGUAGCUUGAUGGAAAGUGGAUGGGGUGAUUGUGGGUGACAAAUACGCCAUGUAGUCAAAAAUCUUUUUUGUUUUCUGAAUGUUAUUUUGCGAAUGAGUGACAACACGAUUUUGAGAUUGGGUAGGAGGUAUGUUGGUUGGUAUGACUGGAGCGGGUAAGGGAGCAUGUUGUGUGGUUGUUGGAAGUGAGACAGAUGUGUUGGUGAUAUUUCGGUUAUGUGUUUCCAUUGCACUGUUUUUGCGGCUGUAAACUAUUGGAAAAGAAGGAUGCUUUGUAAUUUUGCUUGAUGGUUGUUGGGUAUUUGUGAUGAAGAGGGUAUUGUUGAUAGGUUUGGAAGAGACUCUGUACAAUGGGAGUCAUUUGAAUUCCUAGGGAUAACUGUUGGGGUUGGUAGAGGGGGAUAAGAUUGGAUAUCAUGAAGAUGGGGAGGGGUACGCAUGGUUGGAGGAAGAGAUGUACCUGGAUUUGCAGAUUCUGUUGAAGCGCAGCCAAAUGAGAUGGUCUGUUCUCGUAAGAUGGACUCUGCAUUGGGUAAAAUCACUGGGGAGGGUAAAUCUAUGUUAACUGAAGGAGAGAAAAUUGGAGAUACACUUGAGUUUGUUUGGAUUGGUUUUUCCCACGCAAGUGUUUUAAAAUUUGAAGAAAUUUUUGAAAAUAUAUUCUGGAAGGGAAAAAUAUCUUCAAAAAUUUUUACAUCACGAGACAAGUAUACUUUUGAGGCUUUCGAAUCAAAACAUUGAUGACAAUUAUAGGUUAAUGAAAAACCCAAAUAAACACACGGGGUCGACCUCGACUCUAUUUUUUUUUUGUGUAUGGUUUUAGCCACGGAUAACAUGAACACCCAAAAAAAUUUCAAAGAGUGAUAAUCAGGUGUUUUUCCAAAUAAUGUUUGAAAGGGUGAUUCAUUUUUUAAGAGUGAGUUAGGCAAGCGAUUUGUUAGAUAAACAACACGUUGACAAGAAAACGACCAAAGAGACGUCGGAAGCGAAGCUUCAUGAAGUAAUGUUCUUGCAGUUUCAAUAAUAUGUCUAUGACGUCGUUCUGCAAGGGAAACUCUUUGAGCUGUGUAUGGAGGAGCUAAAAGAUGUUCAAUACCUUGAGAGCUUAAGUAUGGAUCAAGGCUUUUAUAUUCUCCACCACCAUCUGUAUAGAUUGACUAAACUUUUGUAUUAAAAUGACGUUCCAUUAACACUUGAAAAUCUUUGAAAAGUUCUUUAACCUCACUCUUAUUUUUCAAUGGAUAAAGCCAAAUGUAUAGCGUAAGUUGCUGAAAAGGAUGGCGAUGAGCUUUGUUUGAUGAACAAGAAUUACAAACUGAAAUUUGUUCUCGUAAACAAGGUAGCGAGAAUUUAUUUAAAAAAAAAAUUAAAACUCUUGCGUGCGGAUCACCCAAUCGACGAUGCCAAGUGAUAAUAAAGGAGUUGGGGAGGCCACAUUUGCUCUUGGUGAAGAUGAAUUUGUCCACUCAUAAAACCAUCUCUACUCUGACCGCGUACGAAUGGAGUCUUCGUUUUCAAGUCCUUCACACAAAAAUGAAAAGGGAAAAAUUCAAUAGAAGUUAGAUUAUCUUGACAGAAUUUUGAAACUGAAACCAAGUUUUGUUUAAUGCUAGGAGCACAAAGAGUGUUAAAGAGUUUGAAAGCAUUAUUUGAUGCAUGUAUUUGAGUUAAACCAGUGUGAGUUAUAGGUAUUUUGUUACCAUCACCCAUAGAAACUUGCCCCAUGCCAUUGUAUGCUUGCAAGUUAUGCGGCUCAGCAGUGAUGUGAUGAGAUGCACCAGAGUCGAGAAUCCAAGGAUUUGGUGUUGUUUGCAGGGCUGAAAUGUAGUUGGCCUUGGCCUCAUAAUGAUUAUGAGAUGCGGACCUAUCGUACACUUGCAAUGUGUCCUACUUUGUUGCAUAAUUGGCAUCUAACCCGUCCAGAGUUGGUGGUGUUUGAAGAGCGUGACUGCUGGUUGAUAGGAGCAGAUCCAUUUUUGUAUCGCCACUGCUGGUAGUCGCUGCUGUUGUUGUUAGCGGUGCGCCUGUUGUUCCGGUUAGUGGAAGGAGUAGGCUUAUUUUGUGAAGCAUAAGCUGCAGUGAUUAGCUAGCAGGUUUCUUUGACUCUUCAUGCCUCAAAAAAAGUUCAUGAUCAAGGAGCUUUUAAUAGAGUUCUUCAUAGGAAAUUGUAGACUCACGUGACCGAAUAGCUGCUGAAAUUUCACGAAACUCUGGACCCAGACCGCUAAGAAUCAUAACAAUGAGUUUAGAGUUCCUGACUGGAGCACCGGCAGUCGAGAGUUCAUCAAAAAGAGAGCGAACAUUUUGAAGAUAUUCGGUGACUGGUUGGGAAUCUUUAUUGAGUCUUGAAGGAUGAUCAAGAAUACUAAAGAUUCUGGUUUGCGACUUGUUUGCAUAUGCGGUGUGUAAUGCAUCCCAUCCUUUCUUUGCAGUCUCAGUAGUUGCAACUGUAGUGGCAAUUGUUGGAUCAACAUAUGCCAUGAGUGCAUUUUGAAUUAGUUGAUCUUGGCGGAACCAAAGAACAUAUGUUGGGUUGACACUAGUGACUGUGCUUGUUGUGAUAGUGCUGGAUGGAGCAGAAGUAGACCUAUCUAGAUGACUAAAGAGAUCAUGGCCGUGCAUGUGGAAAAUUGUGCCUUCCAUGUCGCAAAAUUAUGACUUCCAGUUAGUUUAAUCGAAAAUUAGGUUGCAUGAUUGAACUGGACAAUAGUUGUGGUGGUGUUAUUAUCAGCAUUGACUACACUGGUGGUGUUGGCCAUUUGUGGGGGGUGGGAGGGAAAAAUAAAAUAAAGAUCUUACUCGUUAGAGUGUUAUUUAGGCUCUUGAUACCAUAAAAAGACUUGAAAGUAAAGGCUUUGAAUUGAUGAUCUUUAUUGAGUCUUCAAUGACCUUUAAAUACAAUAAGCAAAUAAUUAACUCCCUAAGCUGACUCCUGUGAUGGAGGAGAACAUAACAACUUAACAAAACUAACUCCCCUAAAUAGGAGACUUAUUGUAAUCUAAAACUAGCUACUAAGUAGGAACUAAAUCCUAACAACUUUACUAAAUAAGAGGUAAAAAAGUAACUGCUACUGCUGCAUAUGUUCUAAUAGUUAGUGCCCAAAUUUAAAACUAGCUACUAAGUAGGAACUAAAUCCUAACAACUCAACUAAAUAAGAGGUAAAAGAGUAAUUGCUACUGCUGCAUAUGUGCUAAUACAACCCCCUCAAGGUAUUCGGUGUGUAACAACGCGUAGCUUGAAUAAGUUACUGUCAAAGGACGCCUUGGGCAG
This 5030-nucleotide long non-coding RNA is filed under the name Nicotiana benthamiana. Its description in RNAcentral is "long non-coding RNA (NBEN_LNC021118)". Lineage: Eukaryota; Viridiplantae; Streptophyta; Magnoliopsida; Solanales; Solanaceae. The record is from RNAcentral.